AGCACCACAAACCCCACAGCCACUCUCUCCACCGCUAAGCCGCCGCCCUUCUCGCCCUCGCCGCCGCCCCCGGGCCGCCGCCGCCGCAGCCAUGCUCCCGCUCGCCCGCGCGGCCCUCCGCCGCCUCGGCCCCGUGACCGCGGGGGACGGCUCCCUCCCCGCCCGCCUCCUCCUCCUCGCGCCGCUCGCCUCCAAGCCGUCGUCGUCCACGCCGCCGGAGUACCAGAUGCCGUCGGUGACGUGGGGCGUGAUCCAGGGCCGCAGGGAGCGGCUCGUGUCCCGCGUCCUCGCCCUCGACUUCCUCCGCUCCGCCGGCGUCACCGACCCCGCGGGCGAGCUGGAGGCCGUGGAGCUCCCCUCCUCCCUCGACGUGCUCCAGGAGCGCCUCGACUUCCUCCUCCGCCUCGGCCUCUCCACCGACGACCUCUCCGCCUACCCGUUCCUCCUCGCCUGCUCCCUCCGCAAGAACGUCAUCCCCGUCCUCUCCUACCUCGAGAAGCUCGGCGUCACGCGCGCGCGCCUCGCCGCCUUCGUCCGCGCCUACCCGGCCUGCCUCCACGCCUCCGUCGCCGUCGACCUCGCCCCCAUCGUCAAGGCGCUCCGCGGCCUCGACGUCGACCGCCAGGACAUCCCACGCGUCCUCGAGCGCUACCCCGACGUCCUCGGCCUCAAGCCCGACGGCACCAUCAGCACCUCCGUCGCCUACCUCGUAGGCAUCGUCGGCGUCGCGCCGCGUGACAUUGGCCCCAUGGUGACACACUAUCCCUUCUUCCUUAGCAUGCGUGUUGGCACCACGAUCAAGCCGUUCUGCGAUUACAUCACAUCUCUGGGGCUGCCGAUGCGGAUUCUCGCGAGGAUUAUUGAGAAGCGGCCGUACAUUCUUGGCUAUGAUCUUGAGGAGACAGUCAAACCAAAUGUCGAGGCAUUGCUCAGCUUCGGCAUUCGGAAGGAGGUGCUGCCACUCAUGAUUGCGCAGUACCCAUCCAUUCUUGGGUUGCCCCUGAAAGUGAAGCUAGCAGCACAGCAGUACUUCUUCAACCUGAAGCUCAAAAUCGACCCUGACGGGUUUGCCCGUGCCAUCGAGAAGUUGCCACAGCUUGUGAGCUUGCAUCAGAAUGUGAUACUGAAGCCCGUGGAGUUCCUCCGCGGCCGGGGGAUCACCGAUGAUGAUAUUGGGCGCAUGUUGAUCCGGUGCCCGCAGAUUCUUUUGCUGCGGAACGAGCUCAUGAAGAACAGCUUUUACUUCUUCAAGAGUGAGCUGAAGCGGCCAAUAAGUGAGCUUCUGGAGUACCCAGAGUAUUUUACAUACAGCUUGGAGUCAAGGAUCAAGCCUAGGUACAUGAGAGUGGCAAGCAAGGGGAUCAGAUGUAGCUUGGAUUGGUUUCUGAACUGCAGUGAUCAGAGGUUUGAGGAAAGGAUGCGAGGGGAUUUUAUUGAAGGGGAUGCACCAGGUCCUUCGUUUACAAUGGGUGGGAAGCUUCAGAUGCCUGGCAACCAGUUAGUGUCGGAUGAUGAUAAUGAGGAAAGUGACGAUGAGGUGCUAUAUAGGCGGACCGUCAUGCUCUAAUUUGGUGGAAGCUAAUCCAAAAUGUCUUCCACAUGCGUUUGGGACAGCAUCCUAUAAGCAAGCUUAUAUAUUGUUGGUUGUCUUCGUUUGGAAUUGGAAUUGGUUAAGUGUCCAAGAAUCCUCACAUUAUUGAUGAGUGCUCUGUUGCCACCAGCCGCAAACGGAGGUUGCUGGGGUGCUGGCCUAAGCGAUGUCUUUGACCGUGCCAGAGGUACUCAGGUACAUCCUCUGAUUGUUCCUGGCGAAGGAUGAAAGCGGGACACCUGUACAUAAUUUUAAGCGGGUUAUCAGUGAAUUGCUCAAGCGAAUGGACACGAUGAAUUAGUGAUGAAUUUUUUUCCCGCUGCAAAGAAAUGCUACUAGUUGAUUGUUGCAUUAGUUUAUUUUUGGUACUCUAUCUAGGACAGGGUGUGAUCACACAAUAGGUUCAGAUCUUUGUACUAACUUUUAGUACUACUAUUAUGUACUGUCUGUAACUCAAAUACUCAGCAUAACAGAACUUCUGCCUGACGCGAAGUUCAUGUCAAAUCUUAUUUGAAUCUGAAACAAAGGCGCUCAAACACUCA
RNA transcript from Triticum aestivum (bread wheat), 2133 nucleotides. It is a transcript of the gene named transcription termination factor MTERF4, chloroplastic, with no coding region annotated. The transcript has 3 exons. The record is from RefSeq and is a predicted model, not a curated record. Lineage: Eukaryota; Viridiplantae; Streptophyta; Magnoliopsida; Poales; Poaceae.